This 253-nucleotide ribosomal RNA is filed under the name uncultured bacterium. Its description in RNAcentral is "partial 16S ribosomal RNA". It matches the Rfam family "Bacterial small subunit ribosomal RNA", at positions 524 to 776 of the family's 1533-position model. The record is from RNAcentral.
UACAGAGGUCUCAAGCGUUGUUCGGAUUCAUUGGGCGUAAAGGGUGCGUAGGUGGCGAGGCAAGUCAGAUGUGAAAUCCCGGGGCUCAACCCCGGAACUGCAUUUGAAACUGCCUUGCUCGAGUACUGGAGAGGAGACUGGAAUUUACGGUGUAGCAGUGAAAUGCGUAGAUAUCGUAAGGAAGACCAGUGGCGAAGGCGAGUCUCUGGACAGUUCCUGACACUGAGACACGAAGGCCAGGGGAGCAAACGGG